RNAcentral lists this ribosomal RNA (253 nucleotides) under uncultured bacterium. RNAcentral describes it as "partial 16S ribosomal RNA". It matches the Rfam family "Bacterial small subunit ribosomal RNA", at positions 524 to 776 of the family's 1533-position model. The record is from RNAcentral.
GACGAACCGUGCGAACGUUGUUCGGAAUCACUGGGCUUAAAGGGCGCGUAGGCGGGCGAGCAAGUCCGGGGUGAAAUCUUUCGGCUUAACCGGAAAAGUGCCUUGGAUACUGCUUGUCUUGAGGGAGGUAGGGGCCUGUGGAACUUCUGGUGGAGCGGUGAAAUGCGUUGAUAUCAGAAGGAACGCCGGUGGCGAAAGCGACAGGCUGGCCCUCUUCUGACGCUGAGGCGCGAAAGCUAGGGGAGCAAACGGG